Molecule: transfer RNA, 89 nt
Filed under: Staphylococcus saprophyticus subsp. saprophyticus KACC 16562
Lineage: Bacteria; Bacillati; Bacillota; Bacilli; Caryophanales; Staphylococcaceae
Description: tRNA-Leu
Source: RNAcentral
UGGUGCCGAGGACCGGAAUCGAACCGGUACGAUAAUCACUUAUCGCAGGAUUUUAAGUCCUGUGCGUCUGCCAGUUCCGCCACCCCGGC